RNAcentral lists this ribosomal RNA (187 nucleotides) under uncultured rumen bacterium. Its description in RNAcentral is "partial 16S ribosomal RNA". It matches the Rfam family "Bacterial small subunit ribosomal RNA", at positions 340 to 524 of the family's 1533-position model. The record is from RNAcentral.
UACGGGAGGCAGCAGUGAGGAAUAUUGGUCAAUGGGCGCGAGCCUGAACCAGCCAAGUAGCGUGCAGGAUGACGGCCCUAUGGGUUGUAAACUGCUUUUAUGCGGGGAUAAAGUGAGGGACGUGUCCCUUAUUGUAGGUACCGCAUGAAUAAGGACCGGCUAAUUCCGUGCCAGCAGCCGCGGUAAU